CUGGUUACAUGAUGAGUAAAAUCAAAUCACCAUCUUUCGGCUGAGCUCGUGAUGGAUUUGCUUUUUUCUGAUAAAGCUG
RNAcentral lists this small nucleolar RNA (79 nucleotides) under Rhinolophus ferrumequinum (greater horseshoe bat). The record is from RNAcentral. Lineage: Eukaryota; Metazoa; Chordata; Mammalia; Chiroptera; Rhinolophidae.